GAUGAACGCUGGCGGCGUGCCUAAUACAUGCAAGUCGAGCGAACAGACGAGGAGCUUGCUCCUCUGACGUUAGCGGCGGACGGGUGAGUAACACGUGGAUAACCUACCUAUAAGACUGGGAUAACUUCGGGAAACCGGAGCUAAUACCGGAUAAUAUAUUGAACCGCAUGGUUCAAUAGUGAAAGACGGUUUUGCUGUCACUUAUAGAUGGAUCCGCGCCGCAUUAGCUAGUUGGUAAGGUAACGGCUUACCAAGGCAACGAUGCGUAGCCGACCUGAGAGGUGAACCGGCCACACGGAAACGGGACACGGGCCCGACCCCCCAGGGGGGGAGGAGUGGGGAAUAUUGCACAAAGGGGGCAAGCCUGGACGAGGCAACGCGCGGGGGUGAAGAAGGGUCUUGGGUUGGAAAACCCCUUUUUUGGGGAAAAAAAAAAGGGGGAAAAAACUACGCUGUUCUUACGGGAACCAAAGAAGAAGCCCCGGCUUAAUUCGGG
Molecule: ribosomal RNA, 496 nt
Filed under: uncultured bacterium
Lineage: Bacteria
Description: partial 16S ribosomal RNA
Rfam family: Bacterial small subunit ribosomal RNA
Source: RNAcentral